GCCUGGGUGGCUCAGUCGGUUGAGCGUCCGACUUUGGCUCAGGUCACGAACUCGUGGUUUGUGAGUUCGAGCCUCACGUCGGGCU
This 85-nucleotide transfer RNA is filed under the name Felis catus (domestic cat). It matches the Rfam family "tRNA". From Rfam's summary of the family: Transfer RNA (tRNA) molecules are approximately 80 nucleotides in length. The record is from Rfam by way of RNAcentral. Lineage: Eukaryota; Metazoa; Chordata; Mammalia; Carnivora; Felidae.